ACAGCAGUAGCCACGGUAAUACGAAGGGUGCAAGCGUUACUCGGAAUUACUGGGCGUAAAGCGUGCGUAGGUGGUGGUUUAAGUCCGCUGUGAAAGCCCUGGGCUCAACCUGGGAAUUGCAGUGGAUACUGGAUCACUAGAGUGUGGUAGAGGAUAGUGGAAUUUCCGGUGUAGCAGUGAAAUGCGUAGAGAUCGGAAGGAACAUCUGUGGCGAAGGCGACUAUCUGGGCCAACACUGACACUGAGGCACGAAAGCGUGGGGAGCAAACAGGAUUAGAUACCCCGGUAGUCCCUGUCUCUUAUAC
Molecule: ribosomal RNA, 305 nt
Filed under: uncultured bacterium
Lineage: Bacteria
Description: partial 16S ribosomal RNA
Rfam family: Bacterial small subunit ribosomal RNA
Source: RNAcentral